This 394-nucleotide transfer-messenger RNA is filed under the name Candidatus Mycosynbacter amalyticus. It matches the Rfam family "transfer-messenger RNA". Rfam says of the family: Bacterial tmRNA, also known as 10Sa RNA or SsrA, is named for its dual tRNA and mRNA-like properties. Its role is to liberate the mRNA from a stalled ribosome. Lineage: Bacteria; Candidatus Saccharimonadota. The record is from Rfam by way of RNAcentral.
GGGGCUGACAUAGCUUUCGACGAUAGGAACUUAACAGGGUAUUUUGCAAGUCGACCGUACACGUUACAGUACAUUUUUAAUUGCAAAAGAUAAUUUUGCUCGCGUUCAGAACGUAUUUGCUUCGGCAUUUGCACCUGCACGCGUUCUUGCGUAACUAAACGCAGGCGUUCGAAUUUGCUAGGUGACAUCGCAAAUCUCGAGUGUUAUAUUUAUGUCGCUCGCUGCGUAUAGGGAAGUGGCCUAUGCGCGGGACUUUUGCCACGUAACGCUGACUAAUCUUUCCGACUAGAUUUUGAGUUAGGCUGUGUUAUAAAACGAAUCAAUCUAGCCUAAGCUUGUAGACGAAUACCAUGUUACCUUUCGGACCGGGGGGCAGUACCCCGCAGCUCCACCA